This 31-nucleotide non-coding RNA is filed under the name Homo sapiens (human). The record is from RNAcentral. Lineage: Eukaryota; Metazoa; Chordata; Mammalia; Primates; Hominidae.
UGUGUGACAUUGGGACAAGUUACUUAACUUC